This 278-nucleotide ribosomal RNA is filed under the name uncultured Oscillospiraceae bacterium. RNAcentral's name for it is "partial 16S ribosomal RNA". It matches the Rfam family "Bacterial small subunit ribosomal RNA", at positions 511 to 788 of the family's 1533-position model. The record is from RNAcentral. Lineage: Bacteria; Bacillati; Bacillota; Clostridia; Eubacteriales; Oscillospiraceae.
GCAGCCGCGGUAAUACGUAGGUUGCAAGCGUUGUCCGGAUUUACUGGGUGUAAAGGGCGUGUAGGCGGAGAUGCAAGUUGGGAGUGAAAUCCCGGGGCUCAACCCCGGAACUGCUCUCAAAACUGUAUCCCUUGAGUAUCGGAGAGGCAAGCGGAAUUCCUAGUGUAGCGGUGAAAUGCGUAGAUAUUAGGAGGAACACCAGUGGCGAAGGCGGCUUGCUGGACGACAACUGACGCUGAGGCGCGAAAGCGUGGGGAGCAAACAGGAUUAGAUACCCC